RNAcentral lists this ribosomal RNA (426 nucleotides) under uncultured bacterium. RNAcentral's name for it is "bacterial SSU rRNA". It matches the Rfam family "Bacterial small subunit ribosomal RNA", at positions 359 to 776 of the family's 1533-position model. The record is from RNAcentral.
GAGGCUUCGGCAAUGGGGGAAACCCUGACCGAGCGACGCCGCGUGGAGGAUGAAGGCCCCUGGGUUGUAAACUCCUUUUGCUGGGGAAGAAACGCGAUCAGGUGAACAAUCUGGUCGUUUGACGGUACCCGGCGAAUAAGCUACGGCUAACUCCGUGCCAGCAGCCGCGGUAACACGGGGGGAGCAAGCGUUGUUCGGAAUCACUGGGCGUAAAGGGCGUGUAGGCGGUCAGGUAAGUGGGAUGUGAAAUCCCUCGGCUCACCCGAGGACCUGCAUCCCAAACUGCUUGGCUUGAGUAUGGGAGAGGAUGAGGGAAUUCCUGGUGUAGCGGUGAAAUGCGUAGAUAUCAGGAGGAACACCGGUGGCGAAAGCGCUCAUCUGGCCCAAUACUGACGCUGAGGCGCGAAAGCUAGGGGAGCAAACGGG